CUUGCUUCUCUUGAGAGCGGCGGACGGGUGAGUAAUGCCUAGGAAUCUGCCUGGUAGUGGGGGAUAACGUCCGGAAACGGACGCUAAUACCGCAUACGUCCUACGGGAGAAAGCAGGGGACCUUCGGGCCUUGCGCUAUCAGAUGAGCCUAGGUCGGAUUAGCUAGUUGGUGGGGUAAUGGCUCACCAAGGCGACGAUCCGUAACUGGUCUGAGAGGAUGAUCAGUCACACUGGAACUGAGACACGGUCCAGACUCCUACGGGAGGCAGCAGUGGGGAAUAUUGGACAAUGGGCGAAAGCCUGAUCCAGCCAUGCCGCGUGUGUGAAGAAGGUCUUCGGAUUGUAAAGCACUUUAAGUUGGGAGGAAGGGCAGUAAAUUAAUACUUUGCUGUUUUGACGUUACCGACAGAAUAAGCACCGGCUAACUCUGUGCCAGCAGCCGCGGUAAUACAGAGGGUGCAAGCGUUAAUCGGAAUUACUGGGCGUAAAGCGCGCGUAGGUGGUUCGUUAAGUUGGAUGUGAAAUCCCCGGGCUCAACCUGGGAACUGCAUUCAAAACUGACGAGCUAGAGUAUGGUAGAGGGUGGUGGGAAUUUCCUGUGUAGCGGUGAAAUGCGUAGAUAUAUGAAGGAACACCAGUGGCGAA
RNAcentral lists this ribosomal RNA (645 nucleotides) under uncultured bacterium. Its description in RNAcentral is "bacterial SSU rRNA". It matches the Rfam family "Bacterial small subunit ribosomal RNA", at positions 79 to 719 of the family's 1533-position model. The record is from RNAcentral.